GAUGAACGCUGGCGGCGUGCCUAAUACAUGCAAGUCGAGCGAACAGACGAGGAGCUUGCUCCUCUGACGUUAGCGGCGGACGGGUGAGUAACACGUGGAUAACCUACCUAUAAGACUGGGAUAACUUCGGGAAACCGGAGCUAAUACCGGAUAACAUGUUGAACCGCAUGGUUCAACAGUGAAAGACGGUCUUGCUGUCACUUAUAGAUGGAUCCGCGCCGCAUUAGCUAGUUGGUAAGGUAACGGCUUACCAAGGCAACGAUGCGUAGCCGACCUGAGAGGGGGGGCGCCCACAGGGGAACUGAGACGGGGCCCAGAGCCCUGCGGGGGGGAGCAGUGGGAACUUUCCGGAAAGGGGCGAAGGCCUGACGGCGCAACGCCGGGUGAGUGAAGAAGGUCUUGGGAUCAAAAAACUUUUUUAUGGGGGAAAAAAAAAUUGGAAAGUAACUCUGCACGUCUGGAGGGUCCCUAACAAAAAGGCCCCGGCAACCUACGUC
This 497-nucleotide ribosomal RNA is filed under the name uncultured bacterium. Its description in RNAcentral is "partial 16S ribosomal RNA". It matches the Rfam family "Bacterial small subunit ribosomal RNA", at positions 28 to 507 of the family's 1533-position model. The record is from RNAcentral.